GACACUCCGUGUUCCACCGAUCGAACUUUCCUAGGAAAGCUAGAAGCCUUUCGAGGUCCAUGUUGUUAUAGUGCUCGUGGUCGUAAAAUUCAGUUAGUGUUAAUCAGUCUGCGGCAAUCUGACAAUCGACGUUAUCAUCGGGGUUUUAGGAGUCGGCCUGCCACCCACCUCUGAGAAAUGUCCACGAUGGUACACGGUGAGAGGAUAUCAAAGUGCAUGGAAGACUCCACACUAAGGUGUUCAAUGUGACAAACUAGUCUUACACUUUGUGCGCUCAUGUGUUCUGCAUGUAGCCUCGUGAAGGUUUUCUUUGAGGCAUUUGGGUUACCAAGUAAAGCCGUCUGUUCGAAGACGAAAGGUGGUAUUAGGUUGGAAAACUACAGCUCAUUUCCUAAUCUCACAUACGAUAGGGAUACAUGUCACGAGAAUUUGAUUUGCAAACUAGGUCAUCGGUGUUCUUCUCUGCGCAGCUGACUUUUCCCAAGACUAAAUUGUAAAAUGGUGUUGUUACUUUCGAGCUGAAGUCUCAGCUCCAACUUUUUUGACAAGAAUUCUCAGAACAGCAAACGUGGACACCACAACCUGGUUCGAGAUGGGAUCUUCAUGUCAUAGAAUGACCUUGCUUUGUUCAUGUUAAAGCGUGAGCUUGCCUUGUCUUCUCAAGUUUAGUAACACGAUAUUCAAAAGUAUGGUCUAACGAUCUAAAGAAAGUAUGGAGCUUCUUAUUGCAUAUUCGACACAGUCUCAGCUGCUCAGAGGCAUUUUCGUUGGUGUAGUCUUGUUCAGCCAUGCCUCAGUACAGAGUGCAUUCGUUCACUCAGAGAAUUCUGCGGAGUUUCAAGCAGCACAAUCUAGCCCAGAAUCUAUGGCGGUGUCUCGGGUGUCCGUCUCACCACCCCUAACUGAUGAAAGUGGCUCAAAUCAAGAAAUCAAAGCAUUGACAGCGAACGCGACUCAGUUACUACAGGAUCAGUACGGAUUUUGCAUAUCUAAAAGGGAGAGAGAUGGCCUCGACGAAAUUUUCGGUUUCCAUAAUUCGGAUAUAAAUCUCUUGUUAGAUUGUGAUGCGCUGACUGGUGGAACCACAACGGAACGCUUCUGUGUCAUGAGCGAGCUGAGGCUUUACUUCGAAAACCUUGCAGCUGUUGACACGCCACCCCCAAACCUCAAUUGCAAUGCAACGGGUUGGGAUCAAGCCUGCGAAGCUGGUUGGGCUGGACGAGUCUCCCAAGUCGUGGAGCUGGAUAGUGAGAUCGUUCCUAGUAGACUUUUGGACCCUCUACCCUGUUGCGCUGGAUUCUUCUGCCCUCGUGGGCUCUCCUGCAUGAUUCCUUGCCCUUUAGGCGCUUAUUGUCCACUCGCGACCUUGAACCAUACCACCAAUAUGUGUGAGCCGUACGGCUACCAAGUGAUGCAAAAUAGUAAUUUGUACGCUGGACAGUGUGGAGGAGCAGAUAAAUGGGCUGAUGUCACCUCUGCAAUCAACAUAUUUUGUCCAGCAGGUCAUUUUUGCCCAACGCCCAUUGAGAAUAGAAUAUGUUCUGUUGGACAUUUUUGCAGGCUGGGAUCCACAGAUCAAGAUAAAUGUUCUCAUCUUACAACUUGCCAAAGUGAAAAUCUUCAAAGCCAGAACUUACAAGGUGUUGGAGGACUAAUCCUUGCUGGGUUAUUGAUUCUGUUGGUGGUGAUCUACACUUGCUCUGACUGGUUGAUGGACCUGCGACAUAGACGUAAGGCAUACGCACGAGAUGUGGCAGCAAGGCAGGUUCUUGAGCACAUUUCCAAAUAUAAGCUUUUCAAAGUCACCGCAAAACGGCAAGCUACAAAACUUACUCGAAAGCUAACUCGAACAAUCAGUCGAGAUCAGAGAGACCUUUCCAUCAAAGAAGAAUUGCAGCAAUCUGGAAUCGUGUCUGAAACGACACAGGAGAAUCAACCUACCUCGUCAACACCAUCUUCCUCGCGGAGGCUUUCUGCAAAUUUAUCUCCGAAAUUUCAGGACGUUUUGAAGCUCAUGACGGGAUAUUCUAAGAAAGCAAUGACUCUCUCUACGAGUCCGAGAGUUUCCCUUCAACUACCAACUUUGGUCAUUCCGACCAAGGAUACAUACAGCCAAAGGUUUGCUUAUGCUUAUGGUCAAAUUGAGAAAGAGAGAGCCUUGGGACACAGAGGAACUUCUCCAGAUAGCGAACAGGAAGACCAACCUGAUGAUGAAGUGAUUCGUAAUAGAUUUGGGAUUGAAUUGACUUUUUCAGAGCUCUCUAUGGUGCUCAAGAGCAGUGGGAAGAAAAUACUGUGUAACGUCGCUGGGAAGCUCUCCCCGGGCAGAAUUACAGCCAUAAUGGGCCCAUCUGGCGCUGGGAAAACGACAUUCCUGAACGGUUUAGCGGGGAAAUCAACAAACACUCGAACAACAGGACAGGUUUUCGUAAAUGGCAAGCCUGGGCCAAUGCAUUCAUACAAACGCAUCAUUGGAUUCGUGCCUCAGGAUGACAUUGUCCAUGGCAGUUUGACUGUUGAGGAAAACUUGUGGUUCAGCGCAAAUUACAGGCUUCCAGUCAACAUGCCAAUUUAUGAGCGUGUUUUGGUGGUGGAACGUAUCAUUCAAGAAUUGGGAUUAGGAGGUAUAAGAGAUUCUCUUGUAGGUACUGUAGAAAAACGUGGAGUAUCAGGAGGGCAGCGUAAAAGAGUGAACGUAGGAUUGGAGUUAGCGAUCGAACCUUCUCUAUUAAUCUUGGACGAGCCCACAUCCGGCCUUGAUAGUACAUCCUCUAGACUUGUGCUUCAGGCCUUGCGUCGGGAGGCUAUGGAAGGUGUUAAUGUGAUUUUGGUGGUUCAUCAGCCCAGCUAUGGGCUCUUCAAAAUGUUUGACGAUGUUAUGUUUCUCGCUAAGGGAGGUUACACGGUGUAUUUGGGACCCGUAGUUGAGGUUGAAGCUUACUUUUCAGGCCUUGGCUUGAUAGUACCUGAAAGAAUCAAUCCACCAGACUACUAUAUGGACGCGUUGGAAGGAAUCCCUGUGUCUAGUUCUCCUCAAUUAGACCUAAGAACUAUGCCCAUUAUGUGGAUGAGGCACAAGGGUUAUCCGAUUCCCAAUGAUAUGGUCGACCUUGCUGGGGAUGUGGAGUCCACUCCUACUGAGAAUCCAUCGCUUGUCCAUCCUGAAUCUUCUAGAUUUAGCGCCACGUUCUUUCAACAGGCAUGUCAGGAACUUUAUCAAAAGAUUCUAAUGACUUGGGACGAAAUAAAAACUGCACUGUCAAGAGUGGAUAACUUGUCUGGGCGCCAAACACCUGGAUUCUUCAGGCAAUUAAGAACCAUUCUACACCGAAUGUGUGGAGCUGUGGAAACUAGAGUGGCGAAGCAGAGGUUUCGUGAAGUAAAGCUCCAUAUUCAAGACUACGUCAUCUUGCUUAUUGCUGGGGGUUGCUUGGGCGUGCUUUCGAACAUGGAUGAUACCAACCUGGGAUCCGAGGGUUACCAUUUCACAAUCAUUGCCUUAGCUUUAUUGAUCAUGAUAGCAUCCCUCAGAACCUUCUCAGCCGACAAGAUUCAAUUUUGGCGUGAAAGUGCUUCAGGAGUGAAUCGCUUAGCCUUUUACCUUGCCAAGGACAUGGCAGAUAUCUUCAAUGUCGUUAUGAAGCCUCUCAUUUAUUUAUCGAUGUUCUAUUUCCUCAGCAAUCCGCGGUCAUCUUUUCUGUCCAACUAUGUGGUGACUCUGGUGCUAGUUUACUGUGUGACUGGUUUGGCAUACAUUUUAGCCAUUCUCCUUGAGCCAGCUCCAGCACAAUUGUGUGCAGUUUUUGUGCCCGUGAUCGCAUCACUCAUCGUGUCCUCGAAAAAAACUAGAUUCCUUCCCACUUUGUCCUAUUUCAGCUAUGCAAGAUAUGCUCUUGAGGCUUAUGUUCUUGCCAAUGCAGAACGGUACGAAGGUGUUUGGGUGAUUACACGCUGCGGUCUUCUUGCAAGUCAAGGCUACCGACUGGAAAAUUGGAGCAAGUGCCUGUUGAUUCUCUUCGGCUAUGGAGUUGUUGCACGCAUUGUGGCGAUACUUAGUCUGCUUUUCAGCCACAGAAAUAGGCAAAAAUGACGGACGCUAUCUGCAUUGGCUUCAUGUUCACAAAAUCCUUCGACUGGAGUGUGAAGGAGCGUUGCAAUCACACUACAACUAUCACACAUGAAGUUAAAAGAUACCAUUGCCAUUGUAUCAAGUUUCAACUCAGUAUGUAAGCUUCGCAGAAUUCAAGUACAGUUACUGUUGGAGAUUCCUGUGGCCGAGAAGUUGGGAAUGCCUUUCAUUUUCAAGGCAAUUUUUCGUAAUUUUUUUACAGGCGAUUACCUGUUUUUCUAGGGGAACCGAGAUGCAGUGCGCAGUUAAGUAUCCCCAACGCUUCUUACUCUCAAGGAUUUUUAGUUAAACUUGGUCCACCCAGAUUUAAGAGUCCAGCCUUGAUUUCUUUCUACCCCUCACUAGUACUUGUUGAACGACCCUAUCUGCCAAGAUACUUGGAAAAGGAAACUAAAGACGGAAAGACCGUUUGUCACUCUAACGCCUAUACCAUCUGCAAAGUGCAAGUUCCAGUACUGAACCAGGAGUCAUUCAUCUCCAGAUAAAUUAUUGAAUUGUUGCAAGUAUAAAUAGUGGAUAAUCUAUACAAAUGAAAGGACUAUUAUUUUGGUGUAAUUCAGUUCAGAUUUCCAUAAACAUCGCGGAUGACAUGUCUAUAUACUCAUAUCCUAUGUAUAUCGUCGUAUAGCUAUUAUAGGCAACUGAACAGCACAUGUACUCCUUGAGCUGGAACCUGAGUGAUCACAAGGAUUAACAUCUACCAGUCAUUAUACAAUUUUCCAUUCACUAACAGUGAAGGUUAUUGUUUCUGAGCUGCUAAAACCAUGGACGAUUCUAAGAGCAGCUAUGUGUAAAGUGGUUUACUUUUCAA
Physcomitrium patens is the source of this 4940-nucleotide non-coding RNA. The record is from RefSeq and is a predicted model, not a curated record. Lineage: Eukaryota; Viridiplantae; Streptophyta; Bryopsida; Funariales; Funariaceae.